RNAcentral lists this ribosomal RNA (500 nucleotides) under uncultured bacterium. Its description in RNAcentral is "partial 16S ribosomal RNA". It matches the Rfam family "Bacterial small subunit ribosomal RNA", at positions 30 to 523 of the family's 1533-position model. The record is from RNAcentral.
AUUGAACGCUGGCGGCAUGCCUUACACAUGCAAGUCGAACGGCAGCACGGGAGCAAUCCUGGUGGCGAGUGGCGAACGGGUGAGUAAUAUAUCGGAACGUGCCCAGUCGUGGGGGAUAACUACUCGAAAGAGUAGCUAAUACCGCAUACGAUCUACGGAUGAAAGCGGGGGAUCUUCGGACCUCGCGCGAUUGGAGCGGCCGAUAUCAGAUUAGGUAGUUGGUAGGGUAAAAGCCUACCAAGCCUGCGAUCUGUAGCCGGUCUGAGAGGACGACCAGCCACGCUGGAACUGAGACACGGUCCAGGCUCCUACGGGAGGCAGCAGUGGGGAAUGUUGGACAAUGAGCGCAAGCCUGAUCCAGCAAUGCCGCGUGCAUGACGAAGGCCUUCGGGUUGUAAACUGCUUUUGUACGGAGCGAAAAGGUCUCUACUAAUACUAGGGGCUCAUGACGGUACCGUAAGAAUAAGCACCGGCUAACUACGUGCCAGCAGCCGCAGUAA